Molecule: ribosomal RNA, 557 nt
Filed under: uncultured bacterium
Lineage: Bacteria
Description: bacterial SSU rRNA
Rfam family: Bacterial small subunit ribosomal RNA
Source: RNAcentral
UUGNANUGGGGGCACCCUGAUCCAGCCAUGCCGCGUGCGGGAAGAAGGCCUUCGGGUUGUAAACCGCUUUUGUCAGGGAAGAAAUCCCUUGGGUUAAUACCUCGGGGGGAUGACGGUACCUGAAGAAUAAGCACCGGCUAACUACGUGCCAGCAGCCGCGGUAAUACGUAGGGUGCAAGCGUUAAUCGGAAUUACUGGGCGUAAAGCGUGCGCAGGCGGUUGUGCAAGACAGAUGUGAAAUCCCCGGGCUCAACCUGGGAACUGCAUUUGUGACUGCACGGCUGGAGUGCGGCAGAGGGGGAUGGAAUUCCGCGUGUAGCAGUGAAAUGCGUAGAUAUGCGGAGGAACACCGAUGGCGAAGGCAAUCCCCUGGGCCUGCACUGACGCUCAUGCACGAAAGCGUGGGGAGCAAACAGGAUUAGAUACCCUGGUAGUCCACGCCCUAAACGAUGUCAACUGGUUGUUGGGAGGGUUUCUUCUCAGUAACGUAGCUAACGCGUGAAGUUGACCGCCUGGGGAGUACGGCCGCAAGGUUGAAACUCAAAAGAAUUGACGGA